AGAGUUUGAUCCUGGCUCAGGACGAACGCUGGCGGCGUGCCUAAUACAUGCAAGUCGAGCGGAGAUAGUGGAGCUUGCUCCAUUAUCUUAGCGGCGGACGGGUGAGUAACACGUGGGCAACCUGCCCUGCAGAUCGGGAUAACUCCGGGAAACCGGUGCUAAUACCGAAUAGUUUGCGGCCUCUCAUGAGGCUGCACGGAAAGACGGUUUCGGCUGUCACUGCAGGAUGGGCCCGCGGCGCAUUAGCUAGUUGGUGAGGUAACGGCUCACCAAGGCCACGAUGCGUAGCCGACCUGAGAGGGUGAUCGGCCACACUGGGACUGAGACACGGCCCAGACUCCUACGGGAGGCAGCAGUAGGGAAUCUUCCGCAAUGGACGAAAGUCUGACGGAGCAACGCCGCGUGAGUGAAGAAGGUUUUCGGAUCGUAAAACUCUGUUGUGAGGGAAGAACAAGUACCAACUAACUACUGGUACCUUGACGGUACCUCACCAGAAAGCCACGGCUAACUACGUGCCAGCAGCCGCGGUAAUACGUAGGUGGCAAGCGUUGUCCGGAAUUAUUGGGCGUAAAGCGCGCGCAGGCGGUCCUUUAAGUCUGAUGUGAAAGCCCACGGCUCAAC
Molecule: ribosomal RNA, 621 nt
Filed under: Planococcus sp. CL4
Lineage: Bacteria; Bacillati; Bacillota; Bacilli; Caryophanales; Caryophanaceae
Description: bacterial SSU rRNA
Rfam family: Bacterial small subunit ribosomal RNA
Source: RNAcentral